Molecule: ribosomal RNA, 292 nt
Filed under: uncultured bacterium
Lineage: Bacteria
Also listed under: 1 other name
Description: partial 16S ribosomal RNA
Source: RNAcentral
GGACUACCCGGGUUUCUAAUCCCGUUUGCUCCCCUGGCUUUCGCGCCUCAGCGUCAGAAGAGGUCCAGCGCGUCGCUUUCGCCACCGGCGUUCCUUCCGAUAUCUACGCAUUUCACCGCUCCACCGGAAGUUCCACACGCCCCUACCUCCCUCGAGACACCCAGUAUCAGAGGCACUUUUCCGGUUAAGCCGAAAGAUUUCACCCCUGACUUGAGUGCCCGCCUACGCGCCCUUUAAGCCCAGUGAAUCCGAACAACGUUCGCACGGUUCGUCUUACCGCGGCGGCUGGCAC